RNAcentral lists this ribosomal RNA (253 nucleotides) under uncultured prokaryote. RNAcentral describes it as "partial 16S ribosomal RNA". It matches the Rfam family "Bacterial small subunit ribosomal RNA", at positions 525 to 777 of the family's 1533-position model. The record is from RNAcentral.
ACGAGGGAUCCUAGCGUUGUUCGGAAUCAUUGGGCGUAAAGCGGGUGCAGGUGGCUAUGUAAGUCAGGUGUGAAAGCCUGGGGCUCAACCCCAGAAGUGCAUUUGAUACUGCGUAGCUUGAGUGCUAGAGAGGAUAGUAGAAUUCUUGGUGUAGUGGUAAAAUACGUAGAUAUCAAGAGGAAUACCGGUGGCGAAGGCGGCUAUCUGGCUAGACACUGACACUCAGACCCGAAAGCGUGGGGAUCAAACAGGA